UACGAAGGGGACUAGCGUUGUUCGGAAUUACUGGGCGUAAAGCGCGCGUAGGCGGCUUUGCAAGUCGGGUGUGAAAUCCCCAGGCUUAACCUGGGAACUGCAUUCGAGACUGCAUUGCUAGAGUAUGGGAGAGGGAAGUGGAAUUUCCGGUGUAGCGGUGAAAUGCGUAGAUAUCGGAAGAACAUCGAGUGGCGAAAGCGACUUCCUGGACCAAUACUGACGCUCAUGUGCGAAAGCGUGGGGAG
Molecule: ribosomal RNA, 245 nt
Filed under: uncultured bacterium
Lineage: Bacteria
Description: partial 16S ribosomal RNA
Rfam family: Bacterial small subunit ribosomal RNA
Source: RNAcentral